AGGAUAAACGCUGGCGGCGUGCCUAACACAUGCAAGUCGAACGCGCUUUCGUCUUCGGAGGAGAGCGAGUGGCGGACGGGUGAGUAACACAUGGGUACCUACCCCACAGUGAGGGAUACCGGCGAGAAAUCGCCGACAAUACCGCAUAGGCUUCUCUUUGGAGACGAGGAGAAGCAAAGUUGCGCAAGCGACGCUGAGGGAUGGGCCUGUGGCCGAUUAGCUAGUUGGGGGGUAACGGCCUCCCAAGGCUUCGAUCGGUAGCUGGUCUGAGAGGACGAUCAGCCACACUGGGAUUGAGAACGGCCCAGACUCCUACGGGGGGCAGCAGUGAGGAAUUUUCCGCAAUGGAGGCAACUCUGACGGAGCAACGCCGCGUGCAGGAUGAAGGUUUUCGGAUCGUAAACUGCUUUUCUCGGGGACGAGCAAGGACGGUACCCGAGGAAUCAGCCCCGGCUAACUACGUGCCAGCAGCCGC
This 475-nucleotide ribosomal RNA is filed under the name uncultured bacterium. Its description in RNAcentral is "SSU rRNA". It matches the Rfam family "Bacterial small subunit ribosomal RNA", at positions 26 to 518 of the family's 1533-position model. The record is from RNAcentral.